This 253-nucleotide ribosomal RNA is filed under the name uncultured bacterium. Its description in RNAcentral is "partial 16S ribosomal RNA". It matches the Rfam family "Bacterial small subunit ribosomal RNA", at positions 524 to 776 of the family's 1533-position model. The record is from RNAcentral.
UACGAAGGGGGCUAGCGUUGCUCGGAAUCACUGGGCGUAAAGCGCACGUAGGCGGCCUGAAAGGUCAGCUGUGAAAACUCGAGGCUCAACCUCGAGACGUCGGUUGAAACCAUCUGGCUAGAGUCCGGAAGAGGAGAGUGGAAUUCCCGGUGUAGCGGUGAAAUGCGCAGAUAUCGGGAAGAACACCCGUGGCGAAGGCGGCUCUCUGGGACGGUACUGACGCUGAGACGCGAAAGCGUGGGGAGCGAACAGG